AGCCUGGUGGUAUAGUGGCAGUAAUUCCCAUCAUAACGCGCUUUCGAGCAACGGACUUGGAUGGGAUGUCGGGAUUGGAAAUGGCGUGGGUUCAAAUCCCACCUGAGCCA
Molecule: non-coding RNA, 110 nt
Organism: Daldinia vernicosa
Lineage: Eukaryota; Fungi; Ascomycota; Sordariomycetes; Xylariales; Hypoxylaceae
Source: the annotation of a RefSeq genome assembly